Molecule: ribosomal RNA, 434 nt
Filed under: uncultured Acetivibrio sp.
Lineage: Bacteria; Bacillati; Bacillota; Clostridia; Acetivibrionales; Acetivibrionaceae
Description: bacterial SSU rRNA
Rfam family: Bacterial small subunit ribosomal RNA
Source: RNAcentral
ACGGAAGGCAGCAGUCGGGAAUAUUGCGCAAUGGAGGGAACUCUGACGCAGUGACGCCGCGUAUAGGAAGAAGGUUUUCGGAUUGUAAACUAUUUUAGACAGGGAAGAAAUUGACAGUACCUGUAGAAUAAGCUCCGGCUAACUACGUGCCAGCAGCCGCGGUAAUACGUAGGGAGCAAGCGUUAUCCGGAUUUAUUGGGUGUAAAGGGUGCGUAGACGGGAAAUCAAGUUAGUUGUGAAAGCCCUCGGCUUAACUGAGGAACUGCAACUAAAACUAAUUUUCUUGAGUGCAGGAGAGGAAAGCGGAAUUCCUAGUGUAGCGGUGAAAUGCGUAGAUAUUAGGAGGAACACCAGUGGCGAAGGCGGCUUUCUGGACUGUAACUGACGUUGAGGCACGAAAGUGUGGGGAGCAAACAGGAUUAGAUACCCUGGUA